This 226-nucleotide ribosomal RNA is filed under the name uncultured bacterium. RNAcentral's name for it is "partial 16S ribosomal RNA". It matches the Rfam family "Bacterial small subunit ribosomal RNA", at positions 54 to 282 of the family's 1533-position model. The record is from RNAcentral.
CAUGCAAGUCGAGCGGGGGAAGGUAGCUUGCUACUGGACCUAGCGGCGGACGGGUGAGUAAUACUUAGGAAUCUGCCUAUUAGUGGGGGACAACGUUCCGAAAGGAGCGCUAAUACCGCAUACGCCCUACGGGGGAAAGCAGGGGAUCUUUGGACCUUGCGCUAAUAGAUGAGCCUAAGUCGGAUUAGCUAGUUGGUGGGGUAAAGGCCUACCAAGGCGACGAUCU